CGUGCCUACGGGAGGCAGCAGUGGGGAAUAUUGGGCAAUGGGCGCAAGCCUGACCCAGCAACGCCGCGUGAAGGAAGAAGGCUUUCGGGUUGUAAACUUCUUUUCUCAGGGACGAAGCAAGUGACGGUACCUGAGGAAUAAGCCACGGCUAACUACGUGCCAGCAGCCGCGGUAAUACGUAGGUGGUAAGCGUUAUCCGGAUUUACUGGGUGUAAAGGGCGUGUAGGCGGGGACGCAAGUCAGAUGUGAAAACCAUG
This 257-nucleotide ribosomal RNA is filed under the name uncultured bacterium. RNAcentral's name for it is "partial 16S ribosomal RNA". It matches the Rfam family "Bacterial small subunit ribosomal RNA", at positions 334 to 605 of the family's 1533-position model. The record is from RNAcentral.